RNAcentral lists this long non-coding RNA (1159 nucleotides) under Zea mays. RNAcentral describes it as "long non-coding RNA (ZMAY_LNC000974)". The record is from RNAcentral. Lineage: Eukaryota; Viridiplantae; Streptophyta; Magnoliopsida; Poales; Poaceae.
ACACUGCGUUAGUGUUUGUUAGAUGUCGAUCACUUGACGACCAUCCUUUGUCUUGGCACUCGUUUAGAUUAUCCAUCUUCAGGUUCGUUUAUUAGCACCAUCUUGUGGAGAAGCCCACACUUUCCAUCCUCUUGUGGUCGACUCAGCUCUGGUUCUCCGCAUCACGUGGUUAAUUCAUGUACCUGAAUGACAUGCAUUAUGCACAUGAAUGCAUAUAGACAUGAAUAUUACAAACCUAAAUAGUGCUAAGUGAUAGCGAAUAAAACACCUAGCGACGAGGCGUUGUACAAGUUUACGGAAAUACUAGUUAUCGAUAUACGACUACGCGCAAUAAUUACGCUUCUCUAGAUUAAUCGAAUCUAACGCAAACAUUACGAAACAUCUAACUAUUCAUACUAGGUACCUAUAACUCAUUAAGCGCAAUGGUCACACUCCCCCUAGCUUAACCGGAUCAACCCCAAAUAUCAUGGAACCAUCAAACCAUACACAAACUCCAUAUACAUAUAUAUAUCAAAUUACAAUUUUAGAACUAAAAUACCUAAAGUGUUUAUACGCAUUAUUUAUCAGACAGAUCCUAGAUUCUGGUUGAAACAAUUAUAUGGAUGUUACUUGAUCCUAAAUAUUCAAAGUAGCAAUCAACAUCCAUUCAAAUCGCAAAAUCAACCAGCACACAUUCAUGCCUGGUUUAGAGAGUACAAUAAUUGACUUACAAUUUUAGCUUUACGAUUCUGGGACACCUAAUGUUUAUAAAAUUAUAGAAGAACCUUUAUUAACCUUCUAAACUAUUUUUGAGAUUAAUUUAUAUAACACAUUAGUUGGUUACGACAUUUACUGAUCAUAAACAUAGACUGAUUAUACUAACUACUAGAGCAUGACAUUGACUCCAUCGUGCAAACACACCGAAUAUAAUUAACAUCGACAGACCUAGCGAUAAUUGCUUAAAACACUAAAUUUACCUAUGCGUCACCGAAAUACUACACUCUGUAAAAUAGGACUAGUUCGAAUAUACUCGGCAACUAAACUCCUCGAAGCACACCUCACAUCACUGGUAUUUCUAACUUAAGCUUCAUACGCAAACUAAACGUCUUAUUUCACGAUCAUAAAAUCAAUAGAAAAAUAGUAAAUCGGCUCACCACAUCUCAAUUCGAUUUGGUAGUUG